This 70-nucleotide transfer RNA is filed under the name Dendropsophus triangulum (triangle treefrog). RNAcentral's name for it is "partial tRNA-Gln". The record is from RNAcentral. Lineage: Eukaryota; Metazoa; Chordata; Amphibia; Anura; Hylidae.
UAGAGAGAUAGGAAUCGAACCUAUAACUAAGAGAUCAAAACCCUCCGUAAUUCCCUUUUACUACCCCCUA